GCGAGAAUUCAGCACCAACUCUUCAUCCUUGCUGGGAGGCCUAUCGUAUAUGUGAUGAGAGGGCUUCUUUCAUCUAUGUGAACAUGUUCUCAGGGGAGGCAACCACACACUUACCAACUGCAACACAAACGCCAAGAGGAGGAAUUCUAGCAGAUGCAAUGGGAAUGGGGAAGACUAUGAUGACAAUUGCUCUAAUACUUGCAAGACCAAGGAGAGGAAGCUCUGAUAGUAUUGAAAUUACAAAGAA
Rosa rugosa (rugosa rose) is the source of this 247-nucleotide long non-coding RNA. RefSeq lists it as uncharacterized. NCBI's taxonomy places the organism in Eukaryota, Viridiplantae, Streptophyta, Magnoliopsida, Rosales, Rosaceae. The transcript is spliced from 3 exons. The record is from RefSeq and is a predicted model, not a curated record.